This 1332-nucleotide ribosomal RNA is filed under the name uncultured bacterium. RNAcentral's name for it is "bacterial SSU rRNA". It matches the Rfam family "Bacterial small subunit ribosomal RNA", at positions 28 to 1382 of the family's 1533-position model. The record is from RNAcentral.
GACGAACGCUGGCGGCGCGCCUAACACAUGCAAGUCGAACGAGCGAGAGAGAGCUUGCUUUCUCGAGCGAGUGGCGAACGGGUGAGUAACGCGUGAGGAACCUGCCUCAAAGAGGGGGACAACAGUUGGAAACGACUGCUAAUACCGCAUAAGCCCACGACCCGGCAUCGGGUAGAGGGAAAAGGAGCAAUCCGCUUUGAGAUGGCCUCGCGUCCGAUUAGCUAGUUGGUGAGGUAACGGCCCACCAAGGCGACGAUCGGUAGCCGGACUGAGAGGUUGAACGGCCACAUUGGGACUGAGACACGGCCCAGACUCCUACGGGAGGCAGCAGUGGGGAAUAUUGCACAAUGGGGGAAACCCUGAUGCAGCGACGCCGCGUGGAGGAAGAAGGUCUUCGGGUUGUAAACUCCUGUUGUUGAGGAAGAUAAUGACGGUACUCAACAAGGAAGUGACGGCUAACUACGUGCCAGCAGCCGCGGUAAAACGUAGGUCACAAGCGUUGUCCGGAAUUACUGGGUGUAAAGGGAGCGCAGGCGGGAAGACAAGUUGGAAGUGAAAUCCAUGGGCUCAACCAUGAACUGCUUUCAAAACUGUUUUUCUUGAGUAGUGCAGAGGUAGGCGGAAUUCCCGGUGUAGCGGUGGAAUGCGUAGAUAUCGGGAGGAACACCAGUGGCGAAGGCGGCCUACUGGGCACCAACUGACGCUGAGGCUCGAAAGUGUGGGUAGCAAACAGGAUUAGAUACCCUGGUAGUCCACACUGUAAACGAUGAUUACUAGGUGUUGGAGGAUUGACCCCUUCAGUGCCGCAGUUAACACAAUAAGUAAUCCACCUGGGGAGUACGACCGCAAGGUUGAAACUCAAAGGAAUUGACGGGGGCCCGCACAAGCAGUGGAGUAUGUGGUUUAAUUCGACGCAACGCGAAGAACCUUACCAAGUCUUGACAUCCUGCGACGCACAUAGAAAUAUGUGUUUCCUUCGGGACGCAGAGACAGGUGGUGCAUGGUUGUCGUCAGCUCGUGUCGUGAGAUGUUGGGUUAAGUCCCGCAACGAGCGCAACCCUUAUGGUCAGUUACUACGCAAGAGGACUCUGGCCAGACUGCCGUUGACAAAACGGAGGAAGGUGGGGAUGACGUCAAAUCAUCAUGCCCUUUAUGACUUGGGCUACACACGUACUACAAUGGCGUUAAACAAAGAGAAGCAAGACCGCGAGGUGGAGCAAAACUCAGAAACAACGUCCCAGUUCGGACUGCAGGCUGCAACUCGCCUGCACGAAGUCGGAAUUGCUAGUAAUCGCAGAUCAGCAUGCUGCGGUGAAUACGUUCCCGGGCCUU